RNAcentral lists this unclassified non-coding RNA (335 nucleotides) under soil metagenome. Its description in RNAcentral is "partial contains 5.8S ribosomal RNA, internal transcribed spacer 2, and large subunit ribosomal RNA". The stretch from base 1 to 120 matches the Rfam family "5.8S ribosomal RNA", at positions 35 to 154 of the family's 154-position model. The record is from RNAcentral.
GAUGAAGAACGUAGCGAAAUGCGAUAAGUAAUGUGAAUUGCAGAAUUCAGUGAAUCAUCGAAUCUUUGAACGCACAUUGCGCCCGCCAGUAUUCUGGCGGGCAUGCCUGUUCGAGCGUCAUUUCAACCAUCAAGCCCCCGGCUUGUGUUGGGGACCUGCGGCUGCCGCAGGCCCUGAAAACCAGUGGCGGGCUCGCUAGUCACUCCGAGCGUAGUAAUACAUCUCGCUCAGGGCGUGCUGCGGGUUCCGGCCGUUAAAAGGCCUUAUUUACCCAAGGUUGACCUCGGAUCAGGUAGGAAGACCCGCUGAACUUAAGCAUAUCAAUAAGCGGAGGA